GAUGAACGCUGGCGGCGUGCCUAAUACAUGCAAGUCGAGCGAACGGACGAGAAGCUUGCUUCUCUGAUGUUAGCGGCGGACGGGUGAGUAACACGUGGAUAACCUACCUAUAAGACUGGGAUAACUUCGGGAAACCGGAGCUAAUACCGGAUAAUAUUUUGAACCGCAUGGUUCAAAAGUGAAAGACGGUCUUGCUGUCACUUAUAGAUGGAUCCGCGCUGCAUUAGCUAGUUGGUAAGGUAACGGCUUACCAAGCCAACGAUGCAUAGCCGACCUGAGAGGAUGAUCAGCCACACUGGGACUGAGACACGGCCCAGACUCCUACGGGAGGCAGCAGUGGGGAAUUUUGGACAAUGGGCGAAAGCCUGACGGAGCAACGCCGCGUGCGGAAUGAAGGCCUUCGGAUUGUAAACCUCUUUUGUACGGAACGAAAAGAUGUUUACUAAUAAAGAGAGAUCAUGACGGUACCUAAAGAAAAAGCACCGGCUAACUACGGG
This 497-nucleotide ribosomal RNA is filed under the name uncultured bacterium. RNAcentral describes it as "partial 16S ribosomal RNA". It matches the Rfam family "Bacterial small subunit ribosomal RNA", at positions 28 to 507 of the family's 1533-position model. The record is from RNAcentral.